UCACCGGGUUUGUAUUCAUCCG
Molecule: microRNA, 22 nt
Filed under: Eisenia fetida (common brandling worm)
Lineage: Eukaryota; Metazoa; Annelida; Clitellata; Crassiclitellata; Lumbricidae
Description: Efe-Mir-36-P10_3p (mature (guide))
Source: RNAcentral